AUGGAACCUUUCAUCAUCACGAAAAGAGGGGUGGAAUCUUUGUUCAUCAGCAGAAGAAGACCCGAACCUUUGACGGUGCAAUUGCUACCUCAUUCUCUAGGAUCUGCACGUGCAACUGGUUUGGGUCAGCUGCUGUCGUUAGUACCCGAUUCUUCCAUGUCUUCACAUGGACAUGGUUUGGAUCCGAUGCCGCUGCCACUGCCGGUGACAUGUGGAGAAACUUCAUUUGGCCCUGUUGUCAGCUCUUCUGGAAUUUUGUUACGUGGUGGAUCGGAGGUGUCGCUAGAGCCGAUCCGCGCUAAAACUGCUAAUGUUCCUACUGUUAAGUCUCCCUUGAUUUCUUUGCACGGACCAGAUUUGGGUGAGGUGCAAGGAUUGAUCAGUGCGAGUGAAACUACUUUGACUGGGAAUUCACCCGAGGAAGAUAUGGUUAACUUCAUUAAAAAUAUAUCCCCUCAGAACCAUAUCUUCAUACAGGCCAGACUCUCUUCAAUAUUUCCUCUAUCCACACAAACUUGUGCUUGA
Molecule: ribosomal RNA, 525 nt
Filed under: Triticum aestivum (bread wheat)
Lineage: Eukaryota; Viridiplantae; Streptophyta; Magnoliopsida; Poales; Poaceae
Description: partial small subunit ribosomal RNA
Source: RNAcentral